Molecule: ribosomal RNA, 253 nt
Filed under: uncultured bacterium
Lineage: Bacteria
Description: partial 16S ribosomal RNA
Rfam family: Bacterial small subunit ribosomal RNA
Source: RNAcentral
UACGGGGGGGGCAAGCGUUGUUCGGAAUUACUGGGCGUAAAGGGCUCGUAGGUGGCCAACUAAGUCAGACGUGAAAUCCCUCGGCUUAACCGGGGAACUGCGUCUGAUACUGGAUGGCUUGAAUUCGGGAGAGGGAUGCAGAAUUCCAGGUGUAGCGGUGAAAUGCGUAGAUAUCUGGAGGAAUACCGGUGGCGAAGGCGGCAUCCUGGACCGGCAUUGACGCUGAACAGCGAAAGCUAGGGGAGCAAACGGG